CUCGCAAGAGUGAACUAGCUAACUGAAAUCAUAUGACUCAUGAAUUUGGUGAUUAUGAUAACAUAAGGGAAAAAAAUGAUGUUACCUUAUUAUUAGUGUUGUCCAAAGCUGGUGCCAGAAGACUCGGUAAGACCAGAGACGCAAACGUUAGUCAUCUUUAUCAGGCGUAAAGGGUGUGUAGGCUGCUUUAAAAGUUUAUUUUUUUAAUAGCUCUGUAACCGUAAUACUCUCUAAUUUAGGUAGUAUAUAAAAUUUAUAAUGAAUUAAAUGAUAUUUAAAAUAUAUCCGUGUCUCAGAAAAAAAUAAAUGAAUUAAAGCUAGAAUCAAAUUGAGGAUAAGCCAAAUAAUACUUAGAGUAGGGGUUAAAUCCGCAGAUACUAAGGGGAAUACUAACGGUGAAGACUUUUUAUCCACUAUUGAUUGACGCUGAGAAACGAAGGUGAGAAUAGGAAAUAGGAUUUGAUACCCAGAUACCUCUCACUGUCAACGAUGAAUGGUGGUUGUUAGUUUUUGUAUAAACUGGUAACGAUGUUAACACGAUAACCAUUCCGCCUUGCGAGUACGGUUGCAAAACUGAAACCAAAAAAAUUACUCGGUCUCGAAGCAAACGAAGUGAAGCAU
Molecule: ribosomal RNA, 621 nt
Filed under: Tricholoma ustale
Lineage: Eukaryota; Fungi; Basidiomycota; Agaricomycetes; Agaricales; Tricholomataceae
Description: partial small subunit rRNA
Rfam family: Bacterial small subunit ribosomal RNA
Source: RNAcentral